GACGAACGCUGGCGGCGUGCCUAAUACAUGCAAGUCGAACGAGAGCGACCGGUGCUUGCACUGGUCAAUCUAGUGGCGAACGGGUGAGUAACACGUGGGUAACCUGCCCAUCAGAGGGGGAUAACAUCCGGAAACGGAUGCUAAAACCGCAUAGGUCUUCGAACCGCAUGGUUUGAAGAGGAAAAGAGGCGCAAGCUUCUGCUGAUGGAUGGACCCGCGGUGCAUUAGCUAGUUGGUGAGGUAACGGCUCACCAAGGCCGUGAUGCAUAGCCGACCUGAGAGGGUGAUCGGCCACAUUGGGACUGAGACACGGCCCAAACUCCUACGGGAGGCAGCAGUAGGGAAUCUUCCGCAAUGGACGCAAGUCUGACGGAGCAACGCCGCGUGAGUGAAGAAGGUUUUCGGAUCGUAAAACUCUGUUGUUGGAGAAGAACAAGUGCUAGAGUAACUGUUAGCGCCUUGACGGUAGCUAACCAGAAAGCCACGGCUAACUACGUG
This 498-nucleotide ribosomal RNA is filed under the name uncultured bacterium. RNAcentral describes it as "partial 16S ribosomal RNA". It matches the Rfam family "Bacterial small subunit ribosomal RNA", at positions 28 to 507 of the family's 1533-position model. The record is from RNAcentral.